GAACGAGCGCGAGGAGAGCCCUUUGGCUGUUGGCUGCCUCUAGUGGAGUACAUGCAGGGGAUUACGGUCUGCGGGGCUUUUAAAUUGAUAAUUGAGGAGUUGAUUAAGGCCGAGGAGGAGCUGCAGGUGCUGCCGUGGCUCAUGGCAGCAGCGUUGGAGCUGCCUGGACCCAGCCUGGCUUGGAGUCAUUUUCCUACCAGAGAGCAAGGACAAGGGGAUGCAGCAUAGCUGGGAAUCCCAAAAUGUGCUUGAGCACCUGGAUUUUCUGCCCGUUCUUGAACCGGUGCCUUCUGCCCCCUGGGCAGGGUAUGGCCCAAGGUCACCCGUGCUGCUGCGUGCUCGGAGCAAAACCCAGCAGGUCUCAGGCAAUAGAGCAAUGCCAGAGGCGGUUCUUGUCCUGCCGGGGUGUUCAGCUGGGGAAAAUGAUGCUGGGACGCAGCUGAAACAAAACCCAAGCAACCACCCAAGGCAAGGAAAGGGCCAGGGGCCGGGCAGCUUUCCGCUAGCGCUGCAGAACGAUGGGUCACUGGAAAAUCUUAGUGGGAAGCGAGAGGGAAGGAACCAGCUUCUGCUUUCUGAUAGUGGUUCCUGCCACGGCCUCCGAAGCCGAGGGUGUGUUAGGAGGGAGUUAGUCAUCGGGGACACAUCACGCUGCCGGUGCCAUGCCCUGCUCCAGCCCCGGCGCUGCCGCUUCCCUUUGGGGCAGAGCUCCGCCGCUAGCAGCUGGCUCCCUCGCCCACUGCUGCUUGUGAGGAGUGACAAAAGCAUCCGACUUCUGCAAAAACUGGACUGUGACCUCGUCAGCUGCCAGGGGAAGUAAUCUCAGCCCUGUCUCUUUUUUGGUUUGUUCCAGGAUUUCACACUCCCCAUCACCGCUCUGGUCGGCCAGGGGAGGAAAAAGCCGCUCCUCUCGCCCUGGGGCUGGCUGCGGGGCAGGGAUGGGGUGCAGGAGGGCAGCACAAAGGAGAGAAGGGAAGGAAGGAAAUUAGUCAGGGAAGGAGCAGGACAAAGGAUAAGAGGGCUCAAGCUGUCCCAGCUGCUGCUCAGCACUGUGCAGGAUUGUUGUCAUCCCUCCGGCCCCGCUGCAGACCUCUCUGCCUGGUUCCAGUCCCUUUGGGAUUGCACGGCGGAGAACUGAGCCACGCCAGUCCCAGUCAUUUACCUCCUCCCCGUCCUCUCGCAUUGUUGCCCACAGCUAAUGACUGAAAGGAGAGUCUAUUCUUCCAACCUGAUGCCUGGGUGAUGAUAUCUGCAGCCAAUUUCCAGCUCGGCGGAGCAGAACAAUUCUACCGAGCUGGUAAAGAGCAGAGAAAAGUCCGCUCCCAAAGGUUACGCUCCCGUGCAGGCACUUGGCUCUCGCUUUUCUCUGCAAACCCAGGGCUUAAUGUAUUUACAAAUAAGUGCACAAAGCCCCGCUGCUGCCAGACCACAGAGCGCACAGCCCUGGCAGCUGCAGCACUGAGUCAGGCCAGCGCGCACCCAGCCCUGCCCCGAGCAGCGGAGCGCUGCCUCUGCUGCUGCGCGUCCCCCGUGCCCAGCCUUGGGUGCGUGCACCCUUAGCCAGCGAGGAAGAGCUGCCUGCAGUUGUCCUCCCCACUGCAACAACCCCUGGGCACUGCGCAGGAGCACGUUCGGGGUUAGGGAUGAGU
This is a non-coding RNA of Anas platyrhynchos (mallard), 1649 nucleotides long. The record is from RefSeq and is a predicted model, not a curated record. NCBI's taxonomy places the organism in Eukaryota, Metazoa, Chordata, Aves, Anseriformes, Anatidae.